UUUAAGAUGGCAGACAAUAUGCGAUAGAUUUAGGAUCUAUAGAAGGAUAUUUCCUCUUAAUU
Molecule: transfer RNA, 62 nt
Filed under: Prosthiostomum siphunculus
Lineage: Eukaryota; Metazoa; Platyhelminthes; Polycladida; Prosthiostomidae
Description: tRNA-Leu
Source: RNAcentral